Unclassified non-coding RNA from Fukomys damarensis (Damara mole-rat), 302 nucleotides. Its record names the gene 7SK. It matches the Rfam family "7SK RNA". Rfam says of the family: 7SK was discovered as an abundant small nuclear RNA in the mid-70s but a possible function has only recently been suggested. Two independent studies have found that 7SK RNA binds the CDK9/cyclin T complex (known as elongation factor P-TEFb). Lineage: Eukaryota; Metazoa; Chordata; Mammalia; Rodentia; Bathyergidae. The record is from Ensembl.
GAGUGUGAAGGUGCUCUGGCUGCGACAUCCAUUGACAACGCUGGUUCAGCUGAUCUAGCUGGCUCUGCUGCUGUCCCUCUCCGCCCUCAUCGCUCCAUGUGUGCCCCUCCUGAAGCUGCAUGCUUGGUCAGAGAGGAUGAGCUUCUCUGACAGUGGAGGACCUCUGUUCUUUGGACAAAGGUAUACAGGUAUACGGUCAUGCUUCCCUGCUAGCACCUCCAAACAAGUUCUCAAGAAAAUAGCAAAGAUGCCCUAGAAAUGGAGAAAGGGAAAACAAUAACAGCACAGAAUCCCAGGAAGCU